RNAcentral lists this transfer RNA (72 nucleotides) under Bos taurus (domestic cattle). It matches the Rfam family "tRNA". Rfam says of the family: Transfer RNA (tRNA) molecules are approximately 80 nucleotides in length. Their secondary structure includes four short double-helical elements and three loops (D, anti-codon, and T loops). RNAcentral also lists the same sequence under 2 other names. Lineage: Eukaryota; Metazoa; Chordata; Mammalia; Artiodactyla; Bovidae. The record is from Rfam by way of RNAcentral.
UCCCUGGUGGCUCAGACAGUAAAGCAUCUGCCUGCAAAUCUGGAGACCCAGGUUUGAUCCCUGGGUUGGGAA